CAGUCGUGCUCUUUGGAUUCAGCCGGUUCUGCCGGUGUACUUCCUUUGAGUGGGGUCAACAUCAGUUUUGAUCGCUGGAUAAAGGCUGGAGGAACGUAGCACCCCCGGGUGAACUCAUAGCCUCCUGUCACAUACAGUGGUUGGGACUGAGGAACGCAGCACGCCUUUAUGGCCGGGAUCCGUCCAUGUACGUGCUUAGGAUGUUGACAUAAUGGACUUUAAACGACCCGUCUUAGAAACACGGACCAAGGAGUCUAGCAUAUAUGCGAGUGUU
Molecule: ribosomal RNA, 274 nt
Filed under: Rhizophagus intraradices
Lineage: Eukaryota; Fungi; Glomeromycota; Glomeromycetes; Glomerales; Glomeraceae
Source: RNAcentral